AUUAGAGUUUGAUCCUGGCUCAGAUUGAACGCUGGCGGCAUGCUUUACACAUGCAAGUCGAACGGCAGCACGGGCUUCGGCCUGGUGGCGAGUGGCGAACGGGUGAGUAAUACAUCGGAACGUACCCAGAAGUGGGGGAUAACGUAGCGAAAGUUACGCUAAUACCGCAUACGUUCUACGGAAGAAAGUGGGGGAUCGCAAGACCUCAUGCUUUUGGAGCGGCCGAUGUCUGAUUAGCUAGUUGGUAGGGUAAAGGCCUACCAAGGCGACGAUCAGUAGCUGGUCUGAGAGGACGACCAGCCACACUGGAACUGAGACACGGUCCAGACUCCUACGGGAGGCAGCAGUGGGGAAUUUUGGACAAUGGGCGCAAGCCUGAUCCAGCAAUGCCGCGUGAGUGAAGAAGGCCUUCGGGUUGUAAAGCUCUUUUGUCAGGGAAGAAACGGCGGAGGCUAAUAUCCUUUGCUAAUGACGGUACCUGAAGAAUAAGCACCGGCUAACUACGUGCCAGCAGCCGCGGUAAUAAU
Molecule: ribosomal RNA, 527 nt
Filed under: uncultured bacterium
Lineage: Bacteria
Description: bacterial SSU rRNA
Rfam family: Bacterial small subunit ribosomal RNA
Source: RNAcentral